ACCGCGGUUAUACAAAUAAUACAAAUAAGAUUUAUUAGUAAUAGUUAAUUUGUUUAUGAUUUAAAAUUAAUUUAAAUUUUUUAAGUGAAAUUUUAAAUUUAAUUAAUUUUAUAAUAAAAAUUUAAUGAAGCUAGAAAAUUUUAAUAAUAAACUAGGAUUAGAUACCCUAUUAUUUAAAAAGUAAAAAUUAAUACUUGAGUAGUAAUAGAUAUGAUCUUCAAACUUAAAGAAUUUGGCGGUGUUUUAGUCUAUUUAGAGGAACCUGUCCUGUAAUCGAUAAUCCACGUUGGACCUUACUAAAAUUUGUUUUCAAUUUGUAUAUCGCCGUUAUCAGAAUAUCUUAAAAGAGGAAUAAUUUUCUUAAUUUAUAAUUAUAAUUGAUGUCAGGUCAAGGUGCAGUUUAUAUUUUAGUAGAGAUGGGUUACAAUAAAUUUAUUUAAACGUUAAAUUAUUUGAAAUAAUAAUUUUAAGGUGGAUUUAAAAGUAAAAUAAUGGAUAUAAUUUAUUUGAUUAUAGCUCUAAAACAUGCACAC
Molecule: ribosomal RNA, 533 nt
Filed under: Simulium tani
Lineage: Eukaryota; Metazoa; Arthropoda; Insecta; Diptera; Simuliidae
Description: partial 12S ribosomal RNA
Source: RNAcentral